Eriocheir sinensis (Chinese mitten crab) is the source of this 1424-nucleotide long non-coding RNA. RefSeq lists it as uncharacterized. NCBI's taxonomy places the organism in Eukaryota, Metazoa, Arthropoda, Malacostraca, Decapoda, Varunidae. The record is from RefSeq and is a predicted model, not a curated record. The transcript has 2 exons.
AUUUGGGAAUGCUGGAUGGUUUCUGAAUAACUUGAUGUAUUGCCCAAGUCCUGUCUAUCAAGGAGUAUGUGUGUGGGGUAUGUGUGAUUCAGUGUGGUAUGUGGGUGUGAUUAGUGGGAUGUGUCUUCUUGUGUGUGUGUUUAUGUAGGUAUGUAGGGUAUGUGUGAUUCAGUGUGGUAUGUGGGUAUGUGAUUAGUGGGAUGUCUUUUUCAGUGUGUGUGUGUGUGUGUGUGUUUAUGUAGGGUGUGGGGAUAUGAUAAGUGGAAAGUGACCUUGUGUAUGUGUGUGUGUGUGUGUGUGUGUGUGUGUGUGUGUGUGUGUGUGUGUGUGUGUGUGUGUGUGUGUGUGUGUAACUCAUCUACUGUCACAUUCUUGGUCUGGGUUAGUGCAAAUUCAUAUGUGUCGAGGGUCUGAAGUCCUUAGGUUUUCUCUGGGUCACAUGCCUUCAGCAGUAGACCAGUGUGUGUGUGUGUGUGUGUGUUUGUGUGUGUGUGUGUGUGUGUGUUACUUUAAAUAAUUCCAUCUCUCUUGGUAUCCACUGUCCCCUACCCUGACAUACCUUCAUACUGUCAGUCCCUUAAAGCUGUAUGUAUGAGGUUUCCAAGAAUGACCCCCCUUCCCCCCCGUCCCCCCCUUUUUUUUAGAUCGCCGAAGUCAAGUUUUCCACCAUAGACUUAAUUAUUUUUAGUGGGUUGUAGAUUUUUUUUCAUCCCUUCCCUUAUUUUAGAUCUUUUUCCCUUCCCUUAUUUUAGAUCUUUUUCCCUUCCCUUAUUUUAGAUUUUUUUCCCUUCCCUUAUUUUAGAUGUUUUCCCUUCCCUUAUUUUAGAUUUUUUCCCUUCCCUUAUUUUAGAUUUUUUUCCCUUCCCUUAUUUUAGACGUUUUCCCUUCCCUUAUUUGAUUUUCCGUCCUUUGAUUUUACAUGCAUCAACUUUUUGCAAUCACCAAAGUUUAGUUUGAUUUUGAUAUUUCCUGAUUUUCACUUUAUAAUGACAACAUAUGUAAUGGAAGACAGAUACAAAUUGCACUGUGGCCUUUGUCAAACCCCUCAGUGCUUUUUAUUAGAAUCCAUAGCAAUUAAGACCCUAAACCCAACUAGCGAUCAUUUUAAUACCCUCUAGUCCUCUCUUAGGUUCAUGCAUUGUUAGGGUUCAGCCAGGCUCCCUAGAAUUCAGGUUUGGUUCUGCAGUGUUCGUGUAAAUUGUAGAGUCCUCCCCGCCACACAGACAUCAUUUUCAGGCCUUUUAGCUUACCUUAGACCCUUAGCUAGGCAGUGUGAGGCAUUGUUAGGGACCAUAUAGUGUCUAGGGGUCAUUUUAGUGGUCUGUUAGAAGAAUAGGCAAUGUUAGGGUCUGUGGGGUGCAUUUUAGUGGUCCCUUAGAAGAAUAGGCAAUGUUAGGGUCUGUAGGGGUCAUUUUAGUGGUCCC